UACGUAGGGCGCAAGCGUUGUCCGGAAUUAUUGGGCGUAAAGAGCUCGAAGGCGGUCUGUUACGUCCGCUGUGAAAACCCAGGGCUUAACCCUGGGCUUGCAGUGGAUACGGGUAGACUAGAGGCAGGUAGGGGAGAAUGGAAUUCCCGGUGUAGCGGUGAAAUGCGCAGAUAUCGGGAGGAACACCGGUGGCGAAGGCGGCUUCCUGGCCUGUAACUGACGCUGAGACGCGAAAGCGUGGGGAGCGAACCGG
RNAcentral lists this ribosomal RNA (253 nucleotides) under uncultured bacterium. Its description in RNAcentral is "partial 16S ribosomal RNA". It matches the Rfam family "Bacterial small subunit ribosomal RNA", at positions 524 to 776 of the family's 1533-position model. The record is from RNAcentral.